CCCAGGGCCGACCGCGCAGGUCG
Molecule: microRNA, 23 nt
Filed under: Canis lupus familiaris (dog)
Lineage: Eukaryota; Metazoa; Chordata; Mammalia; Carnivora; Canidae
Description: Cfa-Novel-2_5p (mature (guide))
Source: RNAcentral